GUGCUUGCUUUGGCAGCACAUAUACUGUAAUUGGAAUGAUACAGAGAUUACCAUGGCCGCUGUGUAAGGAUGACACGCAAAUUCAUGAAGUGUUCCAUAUUUUU
Molecule: small nuclear RNA, 104 nt
Organism: Choloepus didactylus (southern two-toed sloth)
Lineage: Eukaryota; Metazoa; Chordata; Mammalia; Pilosa; Megalonychidae
Source: RefSeq, a predicted model, not a curated record